UCGCCUGUCACACCAUAGAAGAAGAAACAUGUGCUUCUCCAGGAAAUGUUCAAUGGCUAUGUUUUUAGAUUAUCAUAACCAGCGAGCUAAUCCACGUUUUUAGCUGCUAACAAUGCUGUCACUGAACAAUUUGCGGAUUAUGUGCACUUCAGCAUUCACCUAAAUUAUUGGUGAACAGACAAUGCGUAUCUAAGGCUUCCUCUUUUUAUGCAAAACUAUGCAACAACUCGAUCACCUUCACUAGCAGUAAGGACACAAGGCACAACAACGGCAUAGAUUUCUGAUAGAUCACAGAAUGAAAGUAAGGUGAAACAUGUCAAUUCACUGGAAAGGACUUUCUGCACAGCGUCUGUAAAACUGAACUGUAGUCUGUUGAACAAACUCCAACCUUCUUCUGUUUAUAUUGUAAUUUUGUCCAGCCUCCAGAUGAGGGAGCAUCCUUCUUCCAGAUUAUGGAUUGUGACAAGACCUUUGCAAUGGAUACCCAAAGGCUGCAGAAAACAUACCUGAAGCGCCAGCGGUCUCUACACCCUGACAACUUCAGCCAGAAAACUAUGCUGUAGCUGAAGAUCAUGCACAUAAAGGAGGGGACGGAUAAUGUUUCUUAUGGAGUUGAUGGAGAUAACGAAGCACUGGAUGAGGCACAGAGCAAAGAAGAAACGGACAAGAUAGGUGCCUCUAUGAAAGAGAAAUUGAAAGACUUGACUGAACAAAUAGAUGCAUCGCUGCACAAAGGAGAGCUUCAAGCUGCCAAAGCACUUCUCGCCCAAAUGAAAUACUUUGCGAACAUCGAAGACAAGGUGAAGGAAAAACUUUCAGAGCUAAUGUAAACUUUGUUGACUUUGUUUUGAUACUUCUUGGGUCUUUUUAAAGUUGUUUUGAAUGUCUUCAAUAAUUCUAAUAAUAAAAUUAGUAUUUAUUUAUUAUGUACAGUAUUUGUUAAAGUUUCAGGUAUACUAAUAAAUGUCAAACAUUAAUAGGUUA
This is a non-coding RNA of Salmo salar (Atlantic salmon), 984 nucleotides long. Lineage: Eukaryota; Metazoa; Chordata; Actinopteri; Salmoniformes; Salmonidae. The record is from RefSeq and is a predicted model, not a curated record.